UUUUAGUGGUUCCACUACACCACUUCCU
RNAcentral lists this transfer RNA (28 nucleotides) under Poecilia parae. Its description in RNAcentral is "partial tRNA-Gln". The record is from RNAcentral. Lineage: Eukaryota; Metazoa; Chordata; Actinopteri; Cyprinodontiformes; Poeciliidae.